UACAGAGGGUGCAAGCGUUGUUCGGAAUUACUGGGCGUAAAGGGCUCGUAGGCGGCCAACUAAGUCAGACGUGAAAUCCCUCGGCUUAACCGGGGAACUGCGUCUGAUACUGGAUGGCUAGAGGUUGGGAGAGGGAUGCGGAAUUCCAGGUGUAGCGGUGAAAUGCGUAGAUAUCUGGAGGAACACCGGUGGCGAAGGCGGCAUCCUGGACCAAUUCUGACGCUGAGGAGCGAAAGCCAGGGGAGCAAACGGG
This 253-nucleotide ribosomal RNA is filed under the name uncultured bacterium. RNAcentral describes it as "partial 16S ribosomal RNA". It matches the Rfam family "Bacterial small subunit ribosomal RNA", at positions 524 to 776 of the family's 1533-position model. The record is from RNAcentral.